AGUGAACGCUGGCGGUAGGCCUAACACAUGCAAGUCGAACGGCAGCACAGUAAGAGCUUGCUCUUACGGGUGGCGAGUGGCGGACGGGUGAGGAAUACAUCGGAAUCUACUUUUUCGUGGGGGUUAACGUAGGGAAACUUACGUUAAUACCGCAUACGACCUACGGGUGAAAGCAGGGGAUCUUCGGACCUUGCGCGAUUGAUUGAGCCGAUGUCGGAUUAGCUAGUUGGCGGGGUAAAGGCCCACCAAGGCGACGAUCCGUAGCUGGUCUGAGAGGAUGAUCAGCCACACUGGAACUAAGACACGGUCCAGACUCCUACGGGAGGCAGCAGUGUGGAAGAUUGGACAAUGGGCGCAAGCCUGAUCCAGCCAUACCGCGUGGGUGAAGAAGGCCUUCGGGUUGUAAAGCCCUUUUGUUGGGAAAGAAAAGCAGCAGGUUAAUACCCCGCUGUUCUGACGGUACCCAAAGAAGAAGCACCGGCUAACUUCGUG
Molecule: ribosomal RNA, 492 nt
Filed under: uncultured bacterium
Lineage: Bacteria
Description: partial 16S ribosomal RNA
Rfam family: Bacterial small subunit ribosomal RNA
Source: RNAcentral